RNAcentral lists this ribosomal RNA (798 nucleotides) under uncultured archaeon. Its description in RNAcentral is "bacterial SSU rRNA". It matches the Rfam family "Archaeal small subunit ribosomal RNA", at positions 84 to 880 of the family's 1478-position model. The record is from RNAcentral.
UACGGCUCAGUAACACGUGGAUAACCUGCCCUUGGGUCCGGCAUAACCCCGGGAAACUGGGGAUAAUUCCGGAUAACGCACAUAUGCUGGAAUGCUUUAUGCGUAAAAUGGAUUCGUCUGCCCAAGGAUGGGUCUGCGGCCUAUCAGGUAGUAGUGGGUGUAAUGUACCUACUAGCCGACGACGGGUACGGGUUGUGAGAGCAAGAGCCCGGAGAUGGAUUCUGAGACAUGAAUCCAGGCCCUACGGGGCGCAGCAGGCGCGAAAACUUUACAAUGCGGGAAACCGUGAUAAGGGGACACCGAGUGCCAGCAUCAUAUGCUGGCUGUCCAGGUGUGUAAAAUACACCUGUCAGCAAGGGCCGGGCAAGACCGGUGCCAGCCGCCGCGGUAACACCGGCGGCCCGAGUGGUGAUCGUGAUUAUUGGGUCUAAAGGGUCCGUAGCCGGUUUGGUCAGUCCUCCGGGAAAUCUGACGGCUCAACCGUUAGGCUUUCGGGGGAUACUGCCAGGCUUGGAACCGGGAGAGGUAAGAGGUACUACAGGGGUAGGAGUGAAAUCUUGUAAUCCCUGUGGGACCACCUGUGGCGAAGGCGUCUUACCAGAACGGGUUCGACGGUGAGGGACGAAAGCUGGGGGCACGAACCGGAUUAGAUACCCGGGUAGUCCCAGCCGUAAACGAUGCUCGCUAGGUGUCAGGCAUGGCGCGACCGUGUCUGGUGCCGCAGGGAAGCCGUGAAGCGAGCCACCUGGGAAGUACGGCCGCAAGGCUGAAACUUAAAGGAAUUGGCGGGGGAGCACA